GAGUUUGAUCGUGGCUCAGGAUGAACGCUGGCGGCGUGCUUAACACAUGCAAGUCGAACGAAGCGCCUUAUUUGAUUUUCUUCGGAACUGAAGAUUUGGUGACUGAGUGGCGGACGGGUGAGUAACGCGUGGGUAACCUGCCCUGUACAGGGGGAUAACAAUCAGAAAUGACUGCUAAUACCGCAUAAGACCACAGCACCGCAUGGUGCAGGGGUAAAAACUCCGGUGGUACAGGGUGGACCCGCGUCUGAUUAGCUGGUUGGUGAGGUAACGGCUCACCAAGGCGACGAUCAGUAGCCGGCUUGAGAGAGUGAACGGCCACAUUGGGACUGAGACACGGCCCAAACUCCUACGGGAGGCAGCAGUGGGGAAUAUUGCACAAUGGGGGAAACCCUGAUGCAGCAACGCCGCGUGAGUGAAGAAGUAUUUCGGUAUGUAAAGCUCUAUCAGCAGGGAAGAAAGUGACGGUGCCUGACUAAGAAGCCCCGGCUAACUACGUGCCAGCCGCCGCGGUAAG
Molecule: ribosomal RNA, 517 nt
Filed under: uncultured microorganism
Description: bacterial SSU rRNA
Rfam family: Bacterial small subunit ribosomal RNA
Source: RNAcentral